RNAcentral lists this long non-coding RNA (316 nucleotides) under Brassica napus (rape). RNAcentral's name for it is "long non-coding RNA (BNAP_LNC016561)". The record is from RNAcentral. Lineage: Eukaryota; Viridiplantae; Streptophyta; Magnoliopsida; Brassicales; Brassicaceae.
AUAAUUACUUAUAUACUCUUUUUGUUUUAAAACAAUUGCGUAAUCUCAAUAAUCCAUACUUUCCCAUUGUUCUGAAAAAACAAUGCUGAUAUUCCAAAAAAGACAUUGAAACUUAUAAUCGGGAAUCGAACUAAAAACACUUUUCCGCGCGUACAAAUACACCGAAAAUUUGUAUCUGUUAUGUAUCCUCGAGUACAAACAAAAUAUUUUAACUUCAUUUUUAUUUGUAAAUAUAAUAUUUUUUCCUAUAAUCAUCUAACCUAAUUAAUCUAUGGGUGUUUUUCAAAACCAACCCACAAUUUCUAGUCAAACCCAA